CCUACGGGAGGCAGCAGUAGGGAAUAUUGGGCAAUGGACGGAAGUCUGACCCAGCCAUGCCGCGUGCAGGAAGAAGGUCCUCUGGAUUGUAAACUGCUUUAGACGGGGAAGAAUAAGGAUCAUGCGUGAUCUGAUGACGGUACCCGUAGAAUAAGCACCGGCUAACUACGUGCCAGCAGCCGCGGUAAUACGUAGGGUGCGAGCGUUGUUCGGAUUUAUUGGGUUUAAAGGGUGCGUAGGCGGGAGAGUAAGUUCGCUUUUAAAGCCGGCCGCUUAACGGUCAGGUAGGGGGCGGAUACUGCUUUUCUUGAGAGGGCUCGGGGCUGGCGGAAUUUGUGGUGUAGCGGUGAAAUGCAUAGAUACCACAAGGAACACCGAUCGCGUAGGCAGCCAGCCAGGGCCUUUCUGACGCUGAGGCACGAAAGUGCGGGGAGCAAACAGGAUUAGAUACCCUGGUAGUCCGCACUGUAAACGAUGCAUACGUCGGUGUCGGCUCGUUAGAGCGGUGCCUGAGGAACCGAUAAGUNUGCCNCGNGGAGUACGCCGGCGACGGUAGAACGUACGAAGAGAGUAGACGGCGUGAGACGUGCCGACGACGACGACGAGGGAGGAGG
Molecule: ribosomal RNA, 614 nt
Filed under: uncultured bacterium
Lineage: Bacteria
Description: bacterial SSU rRNA
Rfam family: Bacterial small subunit ribosomal RNA (bases 1-534)
Source: RNAcentral